Molecule: ribosomal RNA, 495 nt
Filed under: uncultured bacterium
Lineage: Bacteria
Description: partial 16S ribosomal RNA
Rfam family: Bacterial small subunit ribosomal RNA
Source: RNAcentral
GAUGAACGCUGGCGGCGUGCUUAACACAUGCAAGUCGAACGAAGCGCUUAGGUGGAUCCCUUCGGGGUGAAGCUUAAGUGACUUAGUGGCGGACGGGUGAGUAACGCGUGGGUAACCUGCCUCAUACAGGGGGAUAACAGUUGGAAACGACUGCUAACACCGCAUAAAACAGUAGUGCCGCAUGGCACAACUGUCAAAUAUUUAUAGGUAUGAGAUGGGCCCGCGUCUGAUUAGCUAGUUGGUGGGGUAAUGGCCUACCAAGGCGACGAUCAGUAGCCGGCUUGAGAGAGUGACCGGCCACAUUGGGACUGAGACACGGCCCAAACUCCUACGGGAGGCAGCAGUGGGGAAUAUUGCACAAUGGGCGAAAGCCUGAUGCAGCGACGCCGCGUGAGUGAAGAAGUAUUUCGGUAUGUAAAGCUCUAUCAGCAGGGAAGAUAAUGACAGUACCUGACUAAGAAGCCCCGGCUAACUACGUGCCAGCCGCCGCAGUAA